UACAGAGGGUGCAAGCGUUAAUCGGAAUUACUGGGCGUAAAGCGUGCGCAGAUGGUUGCGUAAGUCAGAUGUGAAAGCCCCGGGCUCAACCUGGGAGGUGCGCUUGAUACUCGAGGGCUUGAGUGCGGGAGAGGAGAGUGGAAUUCCCAGUGUAGAGGUGAAAUUCGUAGAUAUUGGGAAGAACACCGGUGGCGAAGGCGGCUCUCUGGACCGUAACUGACGCUGAGGCGCGAAAGCGUGGGGAGCAAACAGG
This 253-nucleotide ribosomal RNA is filed under the name uncultured bacterium. RNAcentral's name for it is "partial 16S ribosomal RNA". It matches the Rfam family "Bacterial small subunit ribosomal RNA", at positions 524 to 776 of the family's 1533-position model. The record is from RNAcentral.